UACAGAGGUCCCAAGCGUUGUUCGGAUUCACUGGGCGUAAAGGGUGCGUAGGCGGCUUGAUAAGUCUGAUGUGAAAUCCCGCAGCUUAACUGCGGAACUGCAUUGGAUACUGUUUGACUAGAGGAAUGGAGGGGAGACUGGAAUACUUGAUGUAGCAGUGAAAUGCGUAGAUAUCAAGUGGAACACCAGUGGCGAAGGCGAGUCUCUGGACAUUUCCUGACGCUGAGGCACGAAAGCCAGGGGAGCAAACGGG
RNAcentral lists this ribosomal RNA (253 nucleotides) under uncultured bacterium. RNAcentral describes it as "partial 16S ribosomal RNA". It matches the Rfam family "Bacterial small subunit ribosomal RNA", at positions 524 to 776 of the family's 1533-position model. The record is from RNAcentral.